GACGAACGCUGGCGGCGUGCCUAAUACAUGCAAGUGGGACGCAAGGAAACACACUGUGCUUGCACACCGUGUUUUCUUGAGUCGCGAACGGGUGAGUAACGCGUAGGUAACCUGCCUAUUAGCGGGGGAUAACUAUUGGAAACGAUAGCUAAUACCGCAUAAUAUUAAUUAUUGCAUGAUAAUUGAUUGAAAGAUGCAAGCGCAUCACUAGUAGAUGGACCUGCGUUGUAUUAGCUAGUUGGUAAGGUAAGAGCUUACCAAGGCGACGAUACAUAGCCGACCUGAGAGGGUGAUCGGCCACACUGGGACUGAGACACGGCCCAGACUCCUACGGGAGGCAGCAGUAGGGAAUCUUCGGCAAUGGACGAAAGUCUGACCGAGCAACGCCGCGUGAGUGAAGAAGGUUUUCGGAUCGUAAAGCUCUGUUGUAAGUCAAGAACGUGUGUGAGAGUGGAAAGUUCACACAGUGACGGUAGCUUACCUGAAAGGGACGGCUAACUACGUG
Molecule: ribosomal RNA, 505 nt
Filed under: uncultured bacterium
Lineage: Bacteria
Description: partial 16S ribosomal RNA
Rfam family: Bacterial small subunit ribosomal RNA
Source: RNAcentral